UACGGAGUGUGCAAGCGUUACUCGGAAUCACUGGGCCUAAAGGGCGUGUAGGCGGGCUUUCAAGUCGGUUGUGAAAUCCCUCAGCUCAACUGAGGAACUGCAUCCGAUACUGUUUGUCUUGAGGACGAGAGGGGAGAGUGGAACUUCUGGUGGAGCGGUGAAAUGCGUAGAUAUCAGAAGGAACGCCGGUGGCGAAAGCGACUCUCUGGCUCGUAUCUGACGCUGAAACGCGAAAGCUUGGGUAGCAAACGGG
RNAcentral lists this ribosomal RNA (253 nucleotides) under uncultured bacterium. RNAcentral describes it as "partial 16S ribosomal RNA". It matches the Rfam family "Bacterial small subunit ribosomal RNA", at positions 524 to 776 of the family's 1533-position model. The record is from RNAcentral.